RNAcentral lists this ribosomal RNA (497 nucleotides) under uncultured bacterium. Its description in RNAcentral is "partial 16S ribosomal RNA". It matches the Rfam family "Bacterial small subunit ribosomal RNA", at positions 28 to 507 of the family's 1533-position model. The record is from RNAcentral.
GAUGAACGCUGGCGGCGUGCCUAAUACAUGCAAGUCGAGCGAACAGACGAGGAGCUUGCUCCUCUGACGUUAGCGGCGGACGGGUGAGUAACACGUGGAUAACCUACCUAUAAGACUGGGAUAACUUCGGGAAACCGGAGCUAAUACCGGAUAAUAUAUUGAACCGCAUGGUUCAAUAGUGAAAUACGGUUUUGCUGUCACUUCUAGCUGGAUCCGCGCCGGAUUAGCUAGUUGGUAAGUUAACGGCUUAUCAAGGCGACGAGGCGUAGCCGACCUGAGAGGGUGAUCGGCCACACUGGAACUGAGACACGGUCCAGACUCCUACGGGAGGCAGCAGUAGGGAAUCUUCCGCAAUGGGCGAAAGCCUGACGGAGCGACGCCGCGUGAGUGAUGAAGGUCUUCGGAUCGUAAAACUCCGUUAUUAGGGAAGAACAAAUGUGUAAGUAACUAUGCACGUCUUGACGGUACCUAAUCAGAAAGCCACGGCUAACUACGUG